This 851-nucleotide long non-coding RNA is filed under the name Marmota monax (woodchuck). Lineage: Eukaryota; Metazoa; Chordata; Mammalia; Rodentia; Sciuridae. The record is from RNAcentral.
GUGAUGAUGACUCUUACAAAGUGUUAGAUUUAACUGAGUAUGCAAGAAGACACAACAGGUGAAAUCGAGUAUUUGGCCACAGUUCUGGUCCUAUGGUAGAAAAACACUCAGUAGCUACCCAGAUUAUAAAUGGGUGGUAUGACUGGCUGGUGUGCAGGAUUUCUGUUCCAGAAGGGUGGAAAACUUAUAGCAAUUGCAGUGGGAGGACGCUUUCUUCUCCUUCAGAUCCCUAGUCACAGUAGCUUUGUGCGCAUUGACUGGAAGAGUUGAGAAAGAUAUGAACAAAGCAAAAAGAUUAAGAAAUGAGCAAAUAAAGCAGCACCUGAAAACAACAAAAUGAUUGAAGAACCAACAGAAUUUAUCAAACAGAACGUAGAGAUAUCCAGUGGAUUUGUGGGAGAGUUUUUGAUAGGCCUUGCAUCUUACAGACGUGAAUGUCCUACCCUAAUAGUGGAUCCAACUUUGAGAAGGGAUAUGGAGGCAACAGGGUGAUCUCUCAAUGGUACAUAGCACCAGAAUCUCCAUAAAAAGGAGGAACAACUAGCUGGCCAACACCAGAUUCAUAACUUAGCAUUUUUCCUUCUGAAUUUUAGCAAACUAGUAUCUGCUAUGAAACGACCUAUGUGGUAUGUGAAUAAUAGUAUUGUGGAGCAAAACAUAGAUUUUGUCAAUUUUUAAAUAUUUAAAUAUGUUUAGAAACUAGCUUGUAAGAUAUCACCAUUGGAUAUACAUAUGGAGAGAGAAAAAAUUGGUUGAAUUUAUUGGCCAAUAAGAUAUACUCUUUUUAUUUAAAUAAGGUGUUUUUCAUUGUGCUUUAGUUACACUAUAGUAUCAAUAAUUAAAAACUUGUC